Molecule: transfer RNA, 72 nt
Filed under: Camelus bactrianus (Bactrian camel)
Lineage: Eukaryota; Metazoa; Chordata; Mammalia; Artiodactyla; Camelidae
Also listed under: 2 other names
Rfam family: tRNA
About the family: Transfer RNA (tRNA) molecules are approximately 80 nucleotides in length. Their secondary structure includes four short double-helical elements and three loops (D, anti-codon, and T loops). Further hydrogen bonds mediate the characteristic L-shaped molecular structure. tRNAs have two regions of fundamental functional importance: the anti-codon, which is responsible for specific mRNA codon recognition, and the 3' end, to which the tRNAs corresponding amino acid is attached (by aminoacyl-tRNA synthetases). tRNAs cope with the degeneracy of the genetic code in two manners: having more than one tRNA (with a specific anti-codon) for a particular amino acid; and 'wobble' base-pairing, i.e. permitting non-standard base-pairing at the 3rd anti-codon position.
Source: Rfam by way of RNAcentral
GUGGGUAUAGCUCAGUGGUAAAGCACAUGCUUAGCAUACAUGAGGUCCUGGGUUCAAUCCCCAGUACCUCCA